GAAUAUUGUAACUCAGUUACUAACUCAGCUACUUUUUUGAAGAAGUAACUAGUAACUAUAAUUAAUUACUUUUUCAGAGUAACAUGCCCAACAAUGAUUAUUACUACAGUACAGUUAAGAUGUUUACAUACAUUCAUAAGAUUUGUUUUUUAUAUCUUGUAAAUGUGUUUCGCCCUUGUACUCAACAGGUUCUUUGUCAAGUAGUGACAAUAGCCAAACUGGUGACCCUCCACAAAUACAACAAGAUAUAACUGCCAGUAGUGCAAUGAUGUCCCCACCCUCUCCUACCUCCUCUCCAGACCAUCCAGUGAAAAGACCAGGUUCUUUGUCAAGUAGUCACAAUAGCCAAACUGGUGACCCUCCACAAAUACAACAAGAUAUAACUGCCAGUAGUGCAAUGAUGUCCCCACCCUCUCCUACCUCCUCUCCAGACCAUCCAGAGAAAAGACCAGGUUCUUUGUCAAGUAGUCACAAUAGCCAAACUGGUGACCCUCCACAAAUACAACAAGAUAUAAUUGCUAGUAGUGCAGUGAUGUCCCCACCCUCUCUUACCUCCACUCCAGACCAUCCAGAGGAAAAACCAGGAUCUUUGUCAAGUAGUCACAAUAGCCAAACUGGUGACCCUCCACAAAUACAACAAGAUAUAACUGCCAGUAGUGCAAUGAUGUCCCCACCCUCUCUUACCUCCUCUCCAGACCAUCCAGAGAAAAGACCAGGAUCUUUGUCAAGUAGUCACAAUAGCCAAACUGGUGACCCUCCACAAAUACAACAAGAUAUAAUUGCUAGUAGUGCAAUGAUGUCCCCACCCUCUCCUACCUCCACUCCAGACCAUCCAGAGGAAAAACCAGGUUCUUUGUCAAGUAGUGACAAUAGCCAAACUGGUGACCCUCCACAAAUACAACAAGGUAAAUUUCACUUUCUUUGACUUUACACUCCAAUGUCACACAGACACAUGCAUAUGGAGCUAUGUAUGACUAUUAUUACAUUUUAAUGCUGUUUUACGUGAAUGUUUAUUAGAUAUAACUGCCAGUAGUGCAAUGAUGUCCCCACCCUCUCUUACCUCCACUCCAGACCAUCCAGAGAAAAGACCAGGUUCUUUCUCAAGUAGUCCAGCGAAGCGCCACAAUAGCCAAACUAGUGACUCUUCACAAAUACAACAAGGUAAAUCUCACCUUCUUUUACUUUACAUUUCAGUGACACACAGACACAUGCAUAUGGAGCUUUGUAUGUCUAUUAUUAAAUUUUAAUGCUGUUUUAUGUGAAUGUUUAUUAGAUACAUUAGAUACAUUAAGUAUAGGUGUCAGAAACAUCUGGACUACUGUUUAUGCCGCAAACUAACAAGAAAAAAUCUACAGAACCACAAAUUGAAUUAUAAUGAACUGAAUUUGUAUAAUCAGCCUAAUAUUAACGUGUCUUUAGUUCAUGAGUGCGGAUUCAAAGCUUUAACAGAGGGUAGCACACUUCAACUUAACGUAAGUGUAAGGAUUUUAGUGGUGUUUACUCUUGUAUGCGAAUUCACCCCUUAUGUGGUUUAUCUUCCUGCUAACUUCUAACUCUGUUAAAUUUAAUAAAUUCUGUUUUCAUGGAUGCCUGCAUGUUAAACUUAAUUGUUACACCUGGUAAAGCAGCAACGCUGAUCAUUUUAUUAAAGAUGAAAAAAUUUAGACAGUUUUUAACUCUGAGGGAUGCCACAGUGUUCGUUUGACUUUAAGACCUGAAGCUGACAGAGUUUUGGACCCAGAGUACUCCUGACUACAGUAGCUGUAAUGCUCCGACAAUCCAUUAAGCAGUGCAGGUUCGUAGCUCACCAAAGUCAUACUAAAACAUUUUUUGACAGCUUUUUGAGCACCGUGUACCACAUAAAAUCGGUUCGAGUUUAGUAAGCACAACCAGAAUUCAUACAUAAAGUGCACUGGAUUAUAAGGCGCACUGUCGAUUUUUGAGAAAAUUAAAGAAUUUCAAGUGCGCCCUAUGGUGCAGAAAAUACGAUAUUUAGGCUAUAUUUGCAUAAGCCAUGGCUGGGACAGAAUACCGGACCAUGGCUCAGUCUUGGUUGCUUUUAAAACAUUUAUUUUUACAUUAAUCCACAGAAUAGAAAUAACAGAGAUAUGUAGUCUCAGUUAACAUGCCAUUGUAGAAGGAGUGAAAGAAGCCAUCUAUGUCCACUGUGAACGACCAUUUUUAAACAGAGGCGGUGGAUUACGACACCAACUGUCUGCCAUCUAUGAUCCAGUUUUGAGAUCCCUUUGCAGACACCUUAAUUUCCACUCACAUCCUGGGCAUUUUGAUCUCAGGAAAUCACACGAUAGGGUAGGGCGAGGUUUCCCAAUGAGCUCACCCGAAACUUGGCUGAUUGUGACCUACACCCAUUUUCACACCUUGACUUGUGUGAUUAGGUAGAGGAUCAUUAGGGGGUCCAUGUCCCUCUUGGGAGACACUCCCAUAGGGCUUAAAUCUGAGACUCUCCACCAUUUGACCUUAGAAGUGAAGAAACUUCUCAGAUGAGAGGUGAAACAUCUUCAAGCAACUUAAAGAAGUCCAGACGCUUUUCUUUCCAAGCUCCUUAGACUACGAUGACCUCAGAAUCUGAAUCAGAGAAAAUUUUAAAAUUAAAGUGACUGAAUAGGUGAAUAAAUAACUCUAAGUGACUAAAAGUGAAUAAAGUGUCGGCAGUAUAACCAGAGUAUAGAGUAGUUUAUGUUUCUGGUGUGGGAAAUGGUCUUAUCGGCUGGAGUUAAAAAGCAGAGUGGCUUUGGGAACAAAGGUGGCUCUCCUCCCCUCAGUCCUGCAGGAAAUGCAGCGGAGGCACCGCCCAGAGGGGAGCCACUGAAAUGCGGGGGUGAAGAAUGUGAGAGGGGUCAUUGAUGAUUUUGGCUGCCUGUCUAAGGGCCUGUUAGCUGAAAACCUGUGCCAGAGUUCUGACAGGCAGGCCAAUGAUUUUAGAGCACACUGAUGCCGUGUGCUGCAGUCUGUUCCUGUUCUGAAGGCUGAGGGAGUGAAACCAGCAGGUAAUGGAGAAGGUCAUGAUGCUUUUCAGGAAGGCAUAGUAAAAAGUCAUCAUGAUGGGUGUGCUGACUCCAAAGGAGUUGAGUUUCCUAAGAAGGUAUAGCCAUUGGUGGCACCUCCUGAGAAUCUCCUCUGUGUUGGCAGAGAAUUUCAGGAGGUUGUCAAAGAUGGUUCCCAGGUAUUUGCACUCCUCAACUACCUCCACUGGCUUCCCAUGGAUGGUGGUGGUGACUGAAGCAGCCAGAUCCCUCUGCCUACUGGAAAAGGUCACCACAACCUCUUUGGUUUUGCUCACGUUCAGUUCAAGUUUGGAGCUGUCACAACACUCUACAAUCUCCUGAAGAGCAGGCCCGUGGUGUUGUGAGGGGCCUGACAGCAGUGACAGGAGAACUGUGUCGUCAGCAUAUUUCACCAGGUGACAGUUGGGCCGUGUGGAUCUGCAGUCAUCAGUGUAGAGGAUGAAGAGCAGGGGGGAGAGCACACAGCCCUGGGGGGAGCCAGUGGAGGUGGAACUGAGACAGGAAAGAGAGUUGUUGACCUGGAUGACUGAGAACCUUCACAGACACUUAACAUGCCGUUCUGCCUAUGGCAUGGACAAAUGAAAAGGGAUAACAAACCUUUUUGUCAAUAAUUCAAAUGCUGUUGAAUGUCAUUCAUAAAAUAAAUACAUCAUUAGUUUUUAAAAUUAGUGGUUUCUCAUGACAUUUCACCUUAAAGAAAUGAUUGCAUCCUUAAAUCCAGAAAACAAUCGAGAAGUUUAAUCUAAUUUUGUUCCCACCAGAAAAUCAGCUGCUGUUAAGUUAGCGAGGUUCUUCAAACACAUGAGUUAGAAACACAUGAAACGGGUAAAGCAGAGAAUUGUUGCUGUCUAGUCAAAAUUCUGAUAUAUUGCCACUUAGAGGAUAGAUUUUGUCUUCACCUUCAGUCAUUUCACCGUGCCUUCCACAAAUACCUGCAAACUCUUGUUGUGUUCUUUCUGAGGUUUUACACUCACAGACUGUUCUUACAGUUGUAUAAUGUUGGAAGUGAUCAAAAUGCCCCAUAUUUAUUUUCUGUUAAUAUGAUUUGUAAAUACAUUUUUAAGUUUGUUUGUCUUUUUAAAUUUGGAGUAAAUGUAUUACAGCUCUGUAUUUAACAGGUUAUUUGUCAAACUCUUUAGUUCCCUCCGGUCCAGUGAAGAAAAAUCUAACUAAUCUAACUCUUUAAACUUUACGCUCAAAUGACAUACAUGUUUUUCUAAUUCUUUACUGCUGUUUUACGUGACUGUCAGAUUGCAGUAGCAGGAGCCGGAGUCUUUCUAGGCUCUCUUUUAUUUCCACCUAUGUCCAGCCACAGAAAAGACAAGUGACGUACAAGAUGGUCGUCAGCGGAGUAACCUUUGAUGCCCAUAACCAGCUACUGGACAGAGUAACGACUUCAAUCGGGGGUAGAGCUUUAAAGUUGCUCAGUCAGGAGGAUGGUGAAGUCAUCAUUGUCUUCUGUCCUGUUGUUUCACGUAUGGGGACAGAUGUUGAGGCAGCCAUGGCAAAAAUCACAGGUGAUAAACCUGUCAUACUGGUUGUGAUGCAUCACACAUAUGGAGCCAGAUCUGUACCCUCAGUGAAAACAUGGAAGGAUUCUUGUAAGGUCGUUUUGCAUGUUCAUGUUUUCUACCAUGAGAAGGUCCCUGGAUUGCUGUCGUGUCAGGAAAAUAAUGAUGCCAUCUCCAGGAUACGAACAGAAUUACUGAAAUAUGGUGUUGACAUAACAGAAAGUACAAGUGGAGAUGAUCAGAGUUGGUUAAGUUCGCAAGUUUCCCGGUUUCAAAAUUCAUUUAAAAAAAAGAAACAAUGAAAGUAUAAUGCCUGCAACUACAAGUAAAAGAAACUAUAAUAGCUUGUGUCAGCUUCAGCUGUAAAUAGAAGAAACAGUAAAAAACAAGUACAGCUUAUUUGUCUGCAUCUGUACUGUCUGUGUGUUUAUCAUCAGUUCAAGUCUAAAAGAGUUAUUGUCAUGUGAAAACAUGACAUGACAUAUUAGUUUUUGUGUGGUUGUACACCAGUCAGGACUUUAUCUAAUACAACUGAAAAAACAAAAACCACAAAUGAGCAUUUUAUGGUGCGUGGGAAUCAUUUAUAUUUAAAAAAAAGUUCAAGGAUUCAAAGAUUAGUAUUUUUAGUAUUUCUUUAGUUACGCAAAUAAAGUCAGGGUUUAAGAUAAGAUAAGAUAAGAUAAGAUAACCCUUAUUAGUCUCACACGUGGGAAAUUUGUUUAAAAUAUUUGUUUAAAAUUUAAAAUGCUGAUAUACUGUAUGAAUAGAACUUUAUUGUGCUACUGUUUUAUCUUUUUUUUGUAUUUUUUUUUUUGGGGGGGGGAGUCCUGAACACGUCAAAACACCAGUGUAAUGAUAAUCCACUAUAGCCUGUUCUAUGGAACAGCACUGGUUCAGCUAAUAUUUCUGUCUUUAGUUUCUAUAUUCUGUACAAAGACACCUGAAAGUAGAUUAGGACUGUAAUGCAAAGCCCAUCUUUAGCUAUGUACAUGUUCAUGUCUUUCCCACAGUUCAGAAGAGCAAAUAAAGUCAGGGUUUAAGUUAAGAUAAGAUAAGAUAAGAUAACCUUUAUUAGUCCCACACGUGGGAAAUUUGUUUAAAAUAUUUGUUUAAAAUUUAAAAUGCUGAUAUACUGUGUGAAUACAACUUUAUUGUGCUACUGUUUUAUCUUAUUUUUAUUUUUAUUGGGGACUCCUGAACACUCACCAGUGUAAUGAUAAUGCACUACAGGUGGUUUUAAGGAACGUCAGUGGUUCAGCUAAUAUUUCUGUCUUUAGUUUCUAUAUUCUGUACAAAAACAGAUUUACACUACAGUGCAAAGCCCACACUUGAAAAGCAUUCAUAAACUAUAUAGAUGCAAACAUUUUAAAAAGAUCAUAGAUGGAAAUGGAAAAGAUUUUAUAAAUAGAAAACCAAAUGAUACAUAAGUGAUCAUAAUAUCUGUGCUUUUUUAGUUCUAUGUUUCCCCCCAAAGGCCAAUAUAUCAAAACAAAGCAGAAUGAUUUAAAUGUUCUCAUUAACUUAUUCUUUUAUCCAGUGCUUUAAAGUCUCACUAAAAUGCCUACUGUAUACAGUGUAUUAAGUAGCUUAUUAACGGUUAUAGCAAAAUGAGCUCUGGUGCUACAUAGUAAGAUUGAAACAUUUUUUUUUUCGCCUUAUGGGUGGUGUAAACUUUAUCAUUUAAAUGAAGAUGAACUAUCAGAAACUGCACUGUGUUCCAGUGUAAUUUAUAGAAGGCAGCAGGUGAAAAAGUCUGUGUCCAAGGUGUGAGGGAUCUGUAAUGAUUUUCCCUGCCCAUUACAAGUCCUGGAUGGAGGGCAGGGGGCGCCGAUAAUCUUUUCUGCUACCCGUACAGUCCGCUGCAGUCUGCACCUGUCCUGUUUAGUGGCUGCUCCAUACCAAACUGUGAUGGAGUAACACAGGACAGACUCAAUGACUGCAGUGUAGAACUGGAUCAGCAGCUCUUGUGAAAGACUGUACUUCCCCAGUUGUCUCAGGAAGUACGACGUCUGCUGUGUCUUUUUGAGGAUGGAGGAGAUGUUAGUCUCUCACUUCAGGUCCUGGGAGAUGGUGGUACCCAGGAACUUGAAGAUCUCCACAGUAGACACCGGGCUGUCUGAUAAUGUGAGAGGGAGCAAUAAUUGAGGGAUGUCUCCUGAAGUCCACUGUCAUCUCUACAGUCUUAAGUGUGUUCACUUCCAGGUUGUGCUGACUGGACCAGAGUACUCAGCUCAACUUCCUGUCGAUAUGCAGACUCAUCACCAUCCUGAAUGAGGCCAAUGACGGUGGUGUCAUCUGCAAAAAUCAGGAGUUGCAGCUGAACAGCCGAGUUCUUGGAGGUGCAGUCAUUGGUGUAGAGGGAGAACAAUAGUGGUGAGAGGAUACAGCCUUGAGGGGCACCAAUACUGAGGGACCGUGUUCUGGAGGUGAUCUUCCCCAUAUACUAGUAAAGGCAAAUUAAUUUAACAUAAAUGGCCUGUUACUUAGUUUAGCAUUGUGUUAUUCACCCCUUAACCCCAAGUCUGUUUAUUAGUAGAUUAUUUGAUAUAUGAGAUUUUGUGAGUUUUUGAGUGGUGCGAUGUGCUGAAAGGAUAAUUGGAGGUGAGCUUCCCUCCUCCAGGACAUCUACAAGAAGCAGUGCCUGAGAAGCAGCAGACUGAGGGACAGCUUUUUCUAUCAGGUCACCAGACUGCUGAACAGUGACACUUCAUAGACACCUCACUCUCACCUACCGGAACGUCAACACUAUACACUCCAUAUUGUACAUAUAUGCCAUUUCUUUUGCACUAUACUCAAACUGCUGACCUAUGUAUAUUUAACAUAUAUGUAUAUAUACACACACACAGAUAGAUAGAUAGAUAGAUAGAUAGAUAGAUAGAUAGAUAGAUAGAUAGAUAGAUAGAUAGAUAGAUAGAUAGAUAGAUAGAUAGAUAGAUAGAUAGACAUGGCAUACAUAUUAGUAAUGUGCAUACAUUCUUAUAAUUGUACAUUCCUCUUCUUAUAUUUGACUUGUUUCUUAUGUUUCUUGUAUUUUUCCAUACCACUGUUGCUUGUGAAGCUCGCAUACCAGAAUCUCACUCACAUGUCCUGUACCAGUGUAUCAGUUAUGUGACGUGACAAUAAAAGUGC
Molecule: long non-coding RNA, 7666 nt
Organism: Oreochromis aureus
Lineage: Eukaryota; Metazoa; Chordata; Actinopteri; Cichliformes; Cichlidae
Source: Ensembl